AACGAACGCUGGCGGCGUGCUUAACACAUGCAAGUCGAACGCUCUUAGUCCUUCGGGGCGAAAGGGAGUGGCAGACGGGUGAGGAACACGUGGGAGCAUACCUUGUAGUGGGGGAUAACGAUUGGAAACGAUCGCUAAUACCGCAUAAGCCCUAAGGGGGAAAGGAGCAAUUCGCUAUAAGAGUGGCCCGCGUUAGAUUAGGUAGUUGGUGGGGUAAAGGCCUACCAAGCCUGUGAUCUAUAGCUGAUUUGAGAGGAUGAACAGCCACACUGGGACUGAGACACGGCCCAGACUCCUACGGGAGGCAGCAGUGGGGAAUAUUGGACAAUGGGGGAAACCCUGAUCCAGCAACGCCGCGUGAAUGAUGAAGGCCUUCGGGUUGUAAAGUUCUUUUACCUGAGAAGAUAAUGACGGUAUCAGGGGAAAAAGCACCGGCUAACUUCGUGCCAGCCGCCGCAGUAA
RNAcentral lists this ribosomal RNA (462 nucleotides) under uncultured bacterium. RNAcentral describes it as "partial 16S ribosomal RNA". It matches the Rfam family "Bacterial small subunit ribosomal RNA", at positions 29 to 523 of the family's 1533-position model. The record is from RNAcentral.